RNAcentral lists this long non-coding RNA (491 nucleotides) under Mytilus galloprovincialis (Mediterranean mussel). The record is from RNAcentral. Lineage: Eukaryota; Metazoa; Mollusca; Bivalvia; Mytilida; Mytilidae.
UGGAUGAAAGCUUGAGGCAGGGUGAUUUUAAUCGCGAGAAAAGUGUUGUUAAAACAGAGAUAAUUCUUGUUGAUGAAACAUGGGAGUGAAGGGGAACAGAAUAUGGAGGGAAGUAGGAGUUUGGGGAGGGAACUAGGAAUCAAUUCCCUGUGUCCACCAAACUGAAAGCCAUUAAAGAAAUAAAGGAGUGUGGUCUGCCAUGUAUGUAAAUAAAUUCAUCAUUAAUACCAGGACUAAAUUUUGUAUAUACGCCAGACGCAUUUCGUCUACAAAAAGACUCAUCAGUGACGCUCGAAUCCAAAAAAGUUAAAAAAAAAAAAAGCCAAAUAAAGUACAAAGUUGAAGAGCAUUGAGGACCAAAAUUCCUAAAAGUUUUGCCAAAUCCAGCUAAGGUAAUCUUUGCCUGAGGUAGAAAAGGAUCUAUUAUGCAGGGGAUACAGAUCACAGAUUGGUCUAAUUUGACAACUGAUAAAUAAAAAUACGAUGGAUGC